Molecule: ribosomal RNA, 373 nt
Filed under: uncultured organism
Description: bacterial SSU rRNA
Rfam family: Bacterial small subunit ribosomal RNA
Source: RNAcentral
CGGGGGAGCAAGCGUUGUUCGGAUUUACUGGGCGUAAAGGGCGCGUAGGCGGCCAGCACAAGUCAGUUGUGAAAUCUCCGGGCUUAACUCGGAAAGGUCAACUGAUACUGUGCGGCUAGAGUGCAGAAGGGGCAACUGGAAUUCUCGGUGUAGCGGUGAAAUGCGUAGAUAUCGAGAGGAACACCUGCGGCGAAGGCGGGUUGCUGGGCUGACACUGACGCUGAUGCGCGAAAGCCGGGGGAGCGAACGGGAUUAGAUACCCCGGUAGUCCUGGCCUUAAACGAUGGAUGCUUGGUGUCUGGAGUUUUAUAGUCUCCGGGUGCCGUAGCUAACGCGUUAAGCAUCCCGCCUGGGGAGUACGGUCGCAAGACUG